UACGUAGGGUGCGAGCGUUGCUCGGAAUUAUUGGGCGUCAAGGGUCGGUAGGUGGUCUCAUUUGUCCGGGGUGAAAGCCUUGAGCUUAACUCAAGAAGUGCCCCGGAAACGGUGAGACUCGAGUACUGGAGAGGGUCGUGGAAUUCCCGGUGUAGCGGUGAAAUGCGUAGAGAUCGGGAGGAACACCAGAGGCGAAGGCGGCGACCUGGACAGUUACUGACACUCAACUACGAAAGCGUGGGGAGCAAACAGG
This 253-nucleotide ribosomal RNA is filed under the name uncultured bacterium. RNAcentral describes it as "partial 16S ribosomal RNA". It matches the Rfam family "Bacterial small subunit ribosomal RNA", at positions 524 to 776 of the family's 1533-position model. The record is from RNAcentral.